RNAcentral lists this unclassified non-coding RNA (391 nucleotides) under soil metagenome. RNAcentral describes it as "partial contains 5.8S ribosomal RNA, internal transcribed spacer 2, and large subunit ribosomal RNA". The stretch from base 1 to 122 matches the Rfam family "5.8S ribosomal RNA", at positions 35 to 154 of the family's 154-position model. The record is from RNAcentral.
GAUGAAGAACGCAGCGAAAUGCGAUACUUGGUGUGAAUUGCAGAAUCCCGUGAACCAUCGAGUCUUUGAACGCAAGUUGCGCCCGAAGCCAUUAGGCCGAGGGCACGCCUGCCUGGGCGUCACACGUCGUUGCCCCCCCAUCUACUCCUUCGGGAUUGCGGGGGGCGGAUGAUGGCCUCCCGUGCGCCUCGUCGCGCGGUUGGCAUAAAUGCCAAGUCCUCGGCGACGCACGCCACGACAAUCGGUGGUUGCGAAACCUCGGUUGCCCGUCGUGUGCGGUCGUCGCGCAUCGAGGGCUCGAAAAAAUUGCCGGGCUCCGGCUCGGCUUUCAACGCGACCCCAGGUCAGGCGGGGUUACCCACUGAAUUUAAGCAUAUCAAUAAGCGGAGGA